UGGAAGACUAGUGAUUUUGUUGUUUUCUUGUCUGUUGAUUUGACAACAAGUCACAGUCUGCCAUA
Molecule: microRNA precursor, 65 nt
Filed under: Scyliorhinus torazame (cloudy catshark)
Lineage: Eukaryota; Metazoa; Chordata; Chondrichthyes; Carcharhiniformes; Scyliorhinidae
Description: Sto-Mir-7-P4_pre stem-loop
Rfam family: mir-7 microRNA precursor family
About the family: This family represents the microRNA (miRNA) precursor mir-7. In this case the mature sequence comes from the 5' arm of the precursor.
Source: RNAcentral